AAAAUGCAGAAAACUAUUUUUAAACCAAUUAAAACAAAGGAGAAAAGAGAAAAUUCAUGAAAAAUAGGAAAUCAAUUAAAUAAAAUAUGGAAAAAUAAAAAUCGGAUAAAGAAAAAUAAAAGAGAAUUUUAGAAAUUAUUUCGGGAUUUUUUGGAUGAAUAAUGAAAUUACUAUGAAUUUUUAAAGAAAAAAAAUUAAAAAUAAUAAAAGAAAAAAAAUUAAAAUCAGAAAAAACACGGAG
This 241-nucleotide long non-coding RNA is filed under the name Lathyrus oleraceus (garden pea). RNAcentral describes it as "Pisum sativum (pea) long non-coding RNA (PSAT_LNC027080)". Lineage: Eukaryota; Viridiplantae; Streptophyta; Magnoliopsida; Fabales; Fabaceae. The record is from RNAcentral.